RNAcentral lists this ribosomal RNA (570 nucleotides) under uncultured fungus. RNAcentral describes it as "eukaryotic LSU rRNA". The stretch from base 207 to 360 matches the Rfam family "5.8S ribosomal RNA". Lineage: Eukaryota; Fungi. The record is from RNAcentral.
UUGGUCAUUUAGAGGAAGUAAAAGUCGUAACAAGGUUUCCGUAGGUGAACCUGCGGAAGGAUCAUUACCUAGAGUUGUAGGCUUUGCCUGCUAUCUCUUACCCAUGUCUUUUGAGUACCUUCGUUUCCUCGGCGGGUUCGCCCGCCGAUUGGACAAUUUAAACCAUUUGCAGUUGCAAUCAGCGUCUGAAAAAACUUAAUAGUUACAACUUUCAACAACGGAUCUCUUGGUUCUGGCAUCGAUGAAGAACGCAGCGAAAUGCGAUAAGUAGUGUGAAUUGCAGAAUUCAGUGAAUCAUCGAAUCUUUGAACGCACAUUGCGCCCCUUGGUAUUCCAUGGGGCAUGCCUGUUCGAGCGUCAUUUGUACCUUCAAGCUCUGCUUGGUGUUGGGUGUUUGUCUCGCCUCUGCGCGUAGACUCGCCUCAAAACAAUUGGCAGCCGGCGUAUUGACUUCGGAGCGCAGUACAUCUCGCGCUUUGCACUCAUAACGACGACGUCCAAAAGUACAUUUUUACACUCUUGACCUCGGAUCAGGUAGGGAUACCCGCUGAACUUAAGCAUAUCAAUAAG